This is a long non-coding RNA of Miniopterus natalensis, 245 nucleotides long. RefSeq lists it as uncharacterized. Lineage: Eukaryota; Metazoa; Chordata; Mammalia; Chiroptera; Miniopteridae. The record is from RefSeq and is a predicted model, not a curated record.
CAGUCCCGGAGACCCAAACGCGGCGUACACGCGGGAAGCAGGAGAGGAACCCGAGUUAGAGCUUAGAAUUUGGAAUCACCCAGCACAGUCUUGGCUGGCGGGAGGAGACAGAAGGGGAGAACAGAGACCCCGGUUUCGAAGGGAUGCCCGAUCGGAUGGACUGCUUCUGCUUCAGGUUGUAAGCUCCUUCCAACCUACAAUACUGACUCUGUUGCAAAGGACAUAGAGGGAUCUGGGGCAUUCAG